CCAAUAGCGUAUAUUAAAGUUGUUGCAGUUAAAAAGCUCGUAGUUGAAUUUCGGGAUCAAUAUGUCGGUCGUGCUUCGGUACGUACUGGCGUUAUUGGUUUCUCCCUUCUGAAGAACCGCGAUGUCAUUAAUUUGGUGUCGUGGGGAAUCAGGACUGUUACUUUGAAAAAAUUAGAGUGUUUAAAGCAGGCUCGCGCUUGAAUACAUUAGCAUGGAAUAAUGAAAUAGGACGUUUGAUUCUAUUUUGUUGGUUUCUAGGAUCGACGUAAUGAUUAAUAGGGAUAGUUGGGGGCAUUAGUAUUCAAUUGUCAGAGGUGAAAUUCUUGGAUUUAUUGAAGACUAACUACUGCGAAAGCAUUUGCCAAGGAUGUUUUCAUUAAUCAAGAACGAAAGUUAGGGGAUCGAAGACGAUCAGAUACCGUCGUAGUCUUAACCAUAAACUAUGCCGACUAGGGAUCGGAUGAUGUUGAUUUUUUAAUGACUCAUUCGGCGCCUUACG
Molecule: ribosomal RNA, 499 nt
Filed under: uncultured Glomeromycotina
Lineage: Eukaryota; Fungi; Glomeromycota
Description: partial small subunit ribosomal RNA
Rfam family: Eukaryotic small subunit ribosomal RNA
Source: RNAcentral